Molecule: ribosomal RNA, 311 nt
Filed under: uncultured eukaryote
Lineage: Eukaryota
Description: partial 18S ribosomal RNA
Rfam family: Eukaryotic small subunit ribosomal RNA
Source: RNAcentral
CCCCUAGACGUUCUGGGCUGCACGCGCGCUACAAUAAUACGCACAGCGAGUAUCACCGAGCUCGAAAUGGCAAGGUAAACAAUAGAAAAGGUACUGUAAUGGUUAUAGAUCCUUGUAAUUAUUGAUCUUCAACGAGGAAUUCCUAGUAAGUAUGUGUCAUCAUCACGCACUGAUUACGUCCCUGCCCUUUGUACACACCGCCCGUCGCUCCUACCGAUUGGGUGAGCCGAUGAAACUCUCGGAUGUAGGCUAUUCAUAGCCCGCAGAAGAGAUUUGAAUCGUAGCGCUUAGAGGAAGGAGAAGUCGUAACA